This 268-nucleotide ribosomal RNA is filed under the name uncultured bacterium. RNAcentral describes it as "partial 16S ribosomal RNA". It matches the Rfam family "Bacterial small subunit ribosomal RNA", at positions 793 to 1055 of the family's 1533-position model. The record is from RNAcentral.
GUCCACGCCGUAAACGAUGGGCACUAGGUGUGGGGGUGGUCGACUCCCUCCGUGCCGAAGCUAACGCAUUAAGUGCCCCGCCCUGGGGAGGUACGGCCGCAAGGCUAAAACUACAAAGGAAUUGACGGGGGCCCGGCACAAAGCAGCGGAGCAUGUGGUUUAAUUCGAAGCAACGCGAAGAACCUUACCUGGGCUUGACAUGUGCCUGACCGCCGUGGAAACACGGCUUCCCUUCGGGGCAGGUUCACAGGUGGUGCAUGGCUGUCGU